Molecule: long non-coding RNA, 18031 nt
Filed under: Podarcis lilfordi (Lilford's wall lizard)
Lineage: Eukaryota; Metazoa; Chordata; Lepidosauria; Squamata; Lacertidae
Source: RNAcentral
CUAGCCCAAGGUCACCCAGCAGCUGCAUGUGGAGGAGCGGGGAAUCGAACCUGGUUCACCAGAUUACGAGACUACCACUCUUAACCACUCCAACCACUACACUACACUGGCUCUCUAGUAAUGCCUCUUGUUGGCCUGGAUGGAGAGGGGUACAUGUAGGACCCUCUAACUUGUGUGUGGCUGGACAGUAGCCUAUUGUACAAAGGUAAGGAUCAUUUCUCUUGCCCUGCCCACCACCGGCAUGUGCCCCCCUCCCAAGUUUGCCCCUAGAGAAUGUAGCUCUUGGGCUGAAAUAAUUCCUCCACCCCUGGGAUAGAGAGAUAUUAGAGUUGUGGGUCCAGAUGGCUGGGUCUUAUGUUCCACAUUCCAGAGCAAAUAUUGAGAUGCUUGAAGUGAAAGGCAAUUAUUCCAGGGCUGUGCAUGUUAGUACUACCCAUGCCUUAUGGUGUAAGCAGCUGUUUUCACUAGAUAAAUUAAUAUGCGUUUGCUGUAUAUGGGCAUAGGCAAUAACUGCUGCUUAUGUCAGCCAUUUUUAUACAUGCCAAAUAUGAGUUUACAUCAACGUACCCGGGAUAAGGAGAGUGCAGCAUGAGGUAUAUUUUCAACAUUUGGAACUCAAACCAACCUAACUCCAGUUCUAAUUUUGAGUAUUUUUGUUUUAAGGCAUUUCAGAGCAGCAGGUUACUUCUGAUUCAACAGUCUUUCAUGCUUUAUAUUUACGUAACACAACAGCAAAUAGGCUUAAUCAGCAUCGAAGGUCUUAAAGCAUUAAAGAGGAAAUGGACUCCAGAUGUGAUAUAGGGAGUGCUGGAUCAGCAGGGACACAAAUAUAAAGAAGUAGAUGAUCUCAGCCAUUGUCUUUAGCUUUCCACUAUUCUGAGCCUGCCAGUUUCAUUAUGGAUAAAAUGGUGGGUGGGUGGAAAAUUUCCAGCUCCAUGUUACCUCUUUGUCUGUUCAGGUGUUAGAUGCACCAGGAGAGAGCAAGACCUCUGCUCUAUGGUAAUUUGAGGUUUGCACUAGAUUAGCCAGUUACCUCUUACUUUAAACUGUCAACCCUUAUUCUAGAGCAUCACAAUAAUAUAAAGUGUAACAGAAGAGGCUGUGGCUCCAAAAGGACCUCCCAGCACCCCCCAUAGUCCUAUUGUCAACUAAUAUACUUAUUCUAGUCCAGGAAUGGAGAGCCUGUGGCCCUCCAGAUGUUUCAUGACUAGUGGUCAAGGAAGAUAAUGGGAAUUGCAGUUCAGCAACACCUGGAUGACCACAAGUUUCCAAUCCUUCUUGUAAGUCCAAAGCUAUUUUUGACUGGUGCCAGAUCCAAGGGGGAAAUAGGUUGUUUAAAUUGUGGAUAACUUUAUACUGGUACUGGCUAUCUGUCCAUGUGUGUGCAUUCUCUUCUCCACCAUCUUUUCUUCCUAUUCCUUCCCUGUAUUAGGAAAUGAUUAAAUUUAAAUGGCUGUCUCUAUUACAAAACCUCAAAACACAUGUCUUUUCAAUGUGGUGUUCAGGGCUCUCCUUGUAUUUGAUCCUUACAACAACCCUGCAAUGUAAGUUGGGCAGAAAUACGGUGACUGGUCCAACAUCCCCCAGUGAGCUUAAUGCCUGAGCAAGGAUUUGAACCCUGGUCUUCCAUGUCCUGAGCUUUCAUCAGUAUUGAAAGAAGUGCAAAAUAGCAUAGAAUUCAAUAAGCAGCAUCUAUUCAUUGUUUAAAAGAAAAAAGCCAUCUUUCAUAUUUUCUCCUCAUUUCCUAAUGACCCCAAAGAGUGUCAGAUUAUCAACAAGUUUUCUCUUAAUAUCCAGAUCCCCGAUUAAUCAACUGAAAGUUUAAAGUAUCUACCAAUUAUUGCUGGCGAACCUGUUACGAUCCUUUGCAAAAACGUGCAUCCAUAUUCUGAUGCUUUUUUUUUUGUUGGUUUUUGUAAAGGUAAGCAGAGAUUUUUAUACAGUAUGUCAUCACUUAUUGUAGGUAGCUUCGUGUUUGCUGUUGCUAGUUACUGCUCAUUGGCAAAAUGAAAGCUGUCAUGUGCCAUUUGUUGCCUCUGUAAGUCACAGUUACUUUCUUGGAUCACUUCAAAUAACCUAUAAUGUCAGGCUAACAGCUCCAGCUAAUAGUUACAUGAUAAUCUGUGUCUAGAGGAGAGUGACAUAAAUGGUGAGGAGCCUGGACACAAAGUCCUAGGAGAAGAGGCUGAGAAUAGCCUAGAGAGGAGAUAAUUAAGAGGUGAUAUGAUAGCUGUCUUCAGUUGCUUGAAGGGCUGUCACAAAAAUAAUGAAGCAAAUGCGUUUUCUCUUGCUCCAGAGGAUAGAACCCAAGCCAAUGGGUUAAAAAAUAAAUAAAGGAAAGUAGUUUUAGCCUGUGUACACAUUUCCAGCUGAAAAUGCAGCUAGUAGGUCAUUCUUCUUCUCAGUUCAGAUCGAAUCUGGUUUGGAGGGAAAUGCAUCAAAACACAGUAUUCCAUAAGUGACAGGAUAGAUACGGAAUGUGGCUAUUGUGUGUAUGCUGCUUUUCAAACCAGCAGUGGGAGUGCACUGGAAGCAGAGUAAAUGGGAGUGUGUACACAACCUUAGACUAAACAUUAGGAAGAACUUCUUGACAUUACCAGAUAUUGGAUAACAAGGGAGAGAGGACUGCCUCAGACUCUCCUUUCUUAGAGGUUCUAACACUAGCCCUGCUCCCUAGUGUAGGUGAAUUACCUUGUCCAGGCCUUGCCCCCUGGCCUCUUGCCUCAGUGCCAACACAGUUUUCUCAUUCCUCUUCCUCCUCUGUUAUUCUGGGCUUAUCACUAUAUAGUGGAGUGCAUGUGCACAGUACCUCCAAGAAACAUGGUGGCUGGGCCAUAGGAAUGGCAGCCACCAGGAAAAUGGGGUAUGAUGAAGAAACAGUGACUUGAUGGGCUACGUUGCAGGCCACCUCUUGAGGAUAUCCAGUAAUCAGUGGAUACAAAGCACAAGCCAGAGAUGGAUUAACACAGCUGAGGCUGGAAUCCAAUGCACAUUCACAUGAGUAAACUCAGUUUUAUAAAAUUGGAACUAAUGUCAUACAUAAGCUAAAGUUGUGCAUUCUAUUGCAACCAAUGCAACUGUCAAAUAUAUCAGCUUUGGAAAAUUCAUUAAUUGGCUUCAUUCACAUGUUCUUAUAAGCCACGGUCUUGGUGUACUGCGAGUUACUGUGCCUAAUUGCUUCCGCUUCAGUUGUCACCAGGUGCAAAUGGAAUAAAUAAACCAGGAAGAUGUAAUCAAGUUUGGUUUCCUGUUACAUCUGAAUCCAGGAUCAUGGUUUGUUGCUCCAAAAUAAGCCAGGAUCUGUUAGCCAAUAACAAACUAUGGCUUAAGGCCGACUGGUGACCUUGGCUUGUUAGGGAGAAACAAAUUAUAGUCCUGGGUUCAGAUAUAACAGGAAGCCAAGUUUAAUUGUGGAUUCCUGGUUUAUUUCUCCUGCUUGCACCAAAGGUGGAAGUGAUGGGGCGGUGCACAUCAGCACAUCAUGCACAAUAAACCAGAAGCCAUGGCUAAUCGUGACAUGUGCAUGUGGCAAUGGUCAGUCUAUGGUAAAGGCUUGCCAGGUUCAGCUAGCUGAUCAGAUUUCCCACUGACAUUUUACAGAUACAGCAAGGAAGUGGGUAGGAUUUAUUUAUACACACAGCUGUAAGGCAGAACUAACCGAUAAUGUGCCAGAAGUUUGUAAACUCAAUGGAUGAUGCACUUAGAAAAUAUUUUUCCUAUUUACUUUCCCAUGAAACUGUUAUUUUAGCUGUCUUUUUAUAUUUGCAGAAGUGUUUAUUUUCAACAGAAGUUAAUGAGUCACAGGAGCAAGGAGAGGAAACAGUUGGUAGCUAAUUGCUAAGUGCAAAUGUCAUCUGAGCAUGCAUAUUUUGAGGCUGUAUGAAGGGAUACAAUCAUAACAGAUGAGCUACCUUCAAAUUCUUAUAUAUUCCAAGCCAGGAAUAGGAGAUCUGAGAGUUAGGUUAGCCCAAACAGAUGUUCAUCAGUCAUGCAGGCUACAGAAGUGAACUUGAGUUCUUGAAGCUGACAUGGAAUGAUCCAUUAAAGUUUCCAAUAAUGGUCUAUUGAGAUCAGGAACUCAUUUUUCCCACUUAAGAUAUUAGGCUAGUUUUAUUCCACUGCCGCUCCUGUCAGUAUCAGAGGGGCUACAGCUGAGCUAUUGCACAGAUGGGUAGGCCUGCUGUGAUGGUACUUCACAAGCCUUGCCUCAGAAAAUUUAAUACUUGGCUUGACUGCAUACCUUGGGCCUAAACGACUGUGACUGGGAAAGAAUUACUUCCCAGGUCUUACAGGCUGGUGACGCUACUGAAGUUUUGCUUCCCACUUCAAGGCAUCCCUCUGUCUAAUAACAAACUCAGGGUAAGUGCCAACUGAAAAGCAGUCCAAACAGAAGGGUUGUGGGCAGUUGUACUGAUUCAAAGAACUAAUCUGCUUGAGAUAUGUUGAGCUUUACACAAUGGCUUUUGUGUCUCUGUCAGAUUCUAGUCAUGGCAGCAGGGUUGUAGGUUCUGGAAGAGCUCUAGUUCAGAGCUUGGGAAACACAAGAGAGUGGGGUUCCAGUUCUGACCUGUUCUCAUUCAUUGGGCUGUGGUGUGAAAGGAAAGCCUGUCUUCAUUGGCACUGAAUCCCCUUAGAAGUGAUCCAGUGGAUAAUGGUACCAAGAUACAACAUUCCUUUUUAAAAAUGGGAAACAGUGGGCCUAUUCUGGCUUAAAGCCUUUUACAAAAGAGACACCCCUUUGUACGGAAUAGCUAAACAACCAAUGGUUCAAAACUUCUCCCACAAUUGGAUGGUACUCCAUCAAAUCAUUCACUUCAUAAGUAGCACAGACGUUUGCAAACAAGGCACAAAGUCAUUAACCAUGUUUGAAAAUGUUUUAUAUACAACAGACCCUAGGAGCAAAGGUUUAAUUUCUUUAAUUUGUAAAGCUAUUGUAAACUUUUCAAGAUCAAAAUCCUCCAAUUUGCAGACUAGAUGGGAAAGACACUUGUGGGAAGAGAAUGAUGAUGUUUUGUACAGAAGAAUGUGGCCCACAAAUCCUUUUCAAGCUUGUGUGCAAGAAACUACCUUAAAGCUACAGAGGGUACCUGCAUUCCACACGGCUAAAUAGACAAGAAUAACUCUCCACAAAAUACAUUCUCCACAAUGCUGGAGAAACUAUGGGAAUGAAGGAACAUGUGGUGGGAAAGCCUAUUAAUUAAAAACUUUGGGUUAAAAAUAUUUCAGGAAAUGGAACAAAUUACAUUUCAUUUGAUUACUUCACAUCCCCAAAUAGCACUACUUUCAAUAUUUGCAGAUAAAGCAAAAGAUCUUAGGGACAGAGACUUAAUUAUGCAUCUUAUAAUGGCAGCAUGUCUUGCUGUUGCUAAGCACCAAGAGCAAGAGGACAUUGAAUGCAUACUUAUAUGAAAUUUGGUAUGCUUAUGUUUGGGACCUAACCUUGAUGGAAAAGUUGAGUACAGUAAAGAAGACAACAUGAGAAUCUACAAAACUUUUACAAAACGUGGUCCAUUUUUAUUUCAUUUGCAGCAAAAAAACCCCAACCAACCAAAAAACACCCAUGUGUAUAAACCACCCAAGAUGCAUGGGAACCUGUGAAAUGACACUUUUAAAAUUGGCACAUUAAUGUUUUAUUUUCUUAUUACUAAUACAACUGGAUGUAGUUGGUGUUGUUAUGGGGCAUGACAGGAGGGAACUGUAAUUUAUUGGAUAUUUGCUCCUAUAUUCAAAAUUAAUAAAGCAAAGCAUAAAGCUUUUGCAAAAAGGCCAACAGAACAGAUCGAGCGAAUUUUCACCAGAAGUUCCAUAUCUAGGGUGCCAGCACUGAAAAGACCCUGUUUCUGGUGACAACCAAUCUUGCCUCAUUUGGUACCACAAAUGUAAAAUUGACAGAGGCCUCAGCCUGAUUUUGGAGAAAAACAGAAUAACUACUUAAAGGUAAAGGGACCCCUGACCAUUAGGUCCAGUCGUGGACGACUCUGGGGUUGCGGCGCUCAUCUCACUCUAUGGGCCGAGGGAGCCGGCGUUUGUCCGCAGACAGCUUCCGGAUCAUGUAGCCAGCAUGACUAAGCCUCUUCUGCACUUUGAUGUGCUUUCGAACUGCUAGGUUGGCAGGAGCAGGGACCGAGCAACGGGAGCUCACCCCGUCGCGGGGAUUCGAACUGACGACCUUCUGAUCGGCAAGGCCUAGGCUCUGUGGUUUAACCCACAGUGCCACCCGUGUCCCCAAUAACUACUUAGAAUACCUAUAUAAAAUAUAUAUUAAAAGACGAGACUUCUGGUAAAAAGGAGAGAGGGCUACCUGUCGCUUUUUAUGACAUAAAGUAGGUAUGUUAUUCUUCUUGGUAAGAGUCAAGUAACUCAAGAGUCUUGUUUUUAUAUUGAAAUUAUACUAUCAGCAGUAUAGUACAGGUUUCUAUAACCUUUCCCUUGUGAAAACACCUAGGGGCUUCUAGCCUCCCAGGCUCCAAUUCCAAAAGCAUGGAACUCAUUUUGAUUAUCAUGUUCAGGGUGAAACUGUAACCAGUAUUUCAGCCCUGUCCCCUGCACUGCUGCUGCUGCCAUCAUCUCCUCUCCUUUAUUGCAUUUGCACUAAAAUGAGAAGCUGCCCUGUGCUGGAGAGCUGUCCCACCUGUAAACUUUUGGGCAUCCCAGUCUGCUCUUCACCACAAUAGCUGUGGUGAGGUAGGCAUAGACUGAGGGUGCUUUCUUCUAAGGUGGGCUCCUUUCACCCAGUUUAUAUUUAGAUUCAUGAAAAGGGUUCUUCAUGCACCCUUUAUAGCAUUUGUACAUCUGAAAAUAAAUGCAAACCCUCCUUUGUUGCAAGAAAGCAGAGGAAGAAAACACAAUAGCCCUUAUUUAAUGGUCCUGACGCUUCUCCCUUGAGUUUCAAGUUCGUGUAUAAAUCACAGCCAAUGAAAACAAACAGCAGGGCAAGACAGAAAAACAAGGUUAAGCAGGGAAUGUCUGAGAAACAGACAGAGACUGCCUGCCAGCACUGCAGGGGAGGAUCUGGAGACAAGCAGCAUCUAUUCCUGUCUCCCUCCUGCCCCUAAAGCACACAGCAGGGUCCUGGUGGUCCUUGGUGCUUCAAGUUAUUAAUAUAACUGUUUAUAAAAAAGUAUUGUAAUUAACCACCAACAUAGCAAGCCGCCUGGGGUUAUGAUCUGUGACUUUCUCAGAGCAUAUACAUUGUUUAGCACAACAACAGCAGGAUUCUGAUCAGAGUUUCUGAGCAGUGUGAUAAAUUGGUUUUAAGUAAUAAGACUGGCUAUGUGCCCAAAAAAUAUAUUCUGAAGCUGGUGUUUGCCAGUUCAACUUAUCUGUAAUUUAUUUUCUUGAGGACUUCCUUGACAUGCUGCCCAGAUAACUGGUGUCAAUAUCAAAGUUCAAUCGAUACCUAAUCAACAUAUUUCCUAAAUGUUAUUCACAUACAUUAUCUCUGCAAUCCUUACUACAGUGUUGCAAGGUAGGCAAUAUUACCUUGGAUCACAGAUAGGGGAAGGGCUGAGGCGUAGUGGCUUCCUUAAACACCAAGAGCUAGCCCUAAAGUCAUUUUGUUGGCCAAGGGUCAGCAACCUUUUUCAACUGUGGGCCGGUCCACCGUCCCUCAGACCAUGUGGUGGGCCAGACUAUAUUUUGGAAAAAAAUAAUGAACAAAUUCCUAUGCCCCACAAAUAACCCAGAGAUGCAUUUUAAAUAAAAGCACACAUUCUACUCAUGUAAAAACACCAGGCAGGCCCCACAAAUAACCUAGAGAUGCAUUUUAAAUAAAAGGACACAUUCUACACAUGUAAAAACACGCUGAUUCUCGGACCGUCCAUGGGCCGGAUUGAGAAGGCAAUUGGGCCGCAUCUGCCCCCGGGCCUUAGGUUGCCUACACCUGUUGUUGGCUAAGACAGAGGAAAAGAUCCAGACCCUCGCAGUUCCACAAACAAUAUUCAACUGGACUGACAGUUGAGUCUUACUUCAAAACUGAUGCUAAUACAGUAUCUCCAACCUUUACUGAGAAUAUGCUCUAUGUGAUUUCAUGCUACUGGAUGGCUAUUGGUACAUUCAUCCAGAAUCUUGUCAGUCCCAGAAAAAGAAACAGUAGCAAAGAGCACAACCUCUAACAUUUGAACUGCGUGAGAUGACAGCUUCAGAAAAUGGGAAAACUCAUUCUGUAGCACGUUAUUUCAUGCUGAAUCCCAUGCAUGGCGUGAAAUCAUUUGUGUAUGACCUCUUCUUUCUUCAAACAGCCAUUUGCACCAGUUAGCACUACAGCAGCUGAGCUCAGUGUCUUUACUUGGGACCUUUGCAGUCGUUUGAUCCAGAGAUUAGUAAGAGAACCUGUUGUUGAGAGGGUUGAACUCCGCUUGAAGGAACAGGUAUAUAGUCUGGGGGUUACUUUGAGGUCCAGCUCUGUCAUCAGAGGCACAUGUGUUGUUUGCAGUGCAGAGUGCCUUUGGCUAGUGCUGUCUGGUCCACCAGCUGCUACCAUCCCUGGAUAGGAAUUUGGCCACAGUAAUUCACAGUCACUCAGUUUCAAAAAAUGUACUAUACUCUUUGUGGGUGUGGCCUUAAAGAGGAUGUGAACACUUCAGCUAGUGCAAAAUAUUGAGCUAUAUAGCUACUGAACAGGGUAGCUAGAUGGAGCCUUAAAACACCAGUUCUUGUUUAGGGCAGCCCUGUUAAGGGAAGUUUUUUAUGACUGAUGUUUUAAUGUAUUUUUAAUCUUUUGUUGGAAGCCGCCCAGAGUGGCUAGGGGAAUCCAGCCAGAUGGGCAGGGUAGAAAUAAUAAAUUAUUAUUAUAGUUAUCUUGUGGAACUGCAUUGAAUUACAAUACACUUCUGGGCAAAAUUGAUGGUAUUGUCAAUGAUUUAUAAAGCUUUGAACUACUUAGGACCUAACUACCUGAAGGAGCAUCUCUCACUAUGUGCUCCUGCCUGGAUGCUAAGAUCUGCUAGGGAGGCCCACCACCAGGUAUCAUAAAUUUAUAAAAAGCAAAAGAGGGCCUUCUCUGUGGUGGCACCUGAUUAUGGAACUCCACCAUCUCCCAAAUUUGACUGGUGCCAGCUUUGUUGUCAUUCAUCCAAUCAGAUAAAAACAUUUCCCCAAGCCUUUGAUCAUUUUUAAUGUUUGGAUGUCAUUUUGGGGUGGUCUACAGUGUCUGGUGUUUUUUGUUUUUAUUGCAAGUAGUAUUCAUUUUUAUAUGGUUUUAUUCUUCCAGCCUGGGGAUCUCAGGCAUUGUAGGCUGGAACCCUCCAGGCAACCUGUGUAUUCAAAGCUGACACAGAGGUUAGAUUAUGGACUUCUCCAGCAACUUAUGGUAUUUAUUCUGAUUUGCUUGUACAAAGCUUAUGCAGAGGUUAGAUUAUAUUCACAAUUCAUUCUUAUUUGUUUGCAAGGCAGUUAUAUGACAUUGAGCAUUCAUCUUGAUUAUCUAGUGGGGUGAUUUGCUUGGAUUGUGUGCUUUAACUGUGCUUUAAAGGUGUGCACAUAGCUGGAGACAGAGGCCUUUAAUCCACUUUAAAUGCACAAACCUGUUGUUCUGGUAUGCAUUUGAACCAAACUUACAAAAUACUGUCGGUCUGGAGGCACCCUAAAAAUAAACAAGUGAGCAUAGAAAUAAAUGUUUGAAUGAAUGAAUGAAAAAAUAAAUGUGCAGUCAAAUAAUACAGUAGAUGUGGUUGAUGAAAAAUAUAUCAAAUUCUCCUCCCCCAGUGGUGAUGGGUUACCAUUAGCAACUCCCCUGCUUGGAAUUGCUUGCUACCUCUCCCCCCUGGCAAUACCAUUUACAUCUGAAUAGCUAAGGAUUAGGUAUCAAUUGUCCCCAGGUGCCUGUGUUCUUUCUUCAGCUAAGGCUGCAACCACCAGAGCCUACCUCUUUCACAUUCUUUCACAUUUUUCUUCAUUAGUUGUUCUUUGUUGGCCAAGUGUGGCAGGCAUCACAAUUUUUGUUGUGCUUUGUUUACAGCACAUAGGGGCUUCUCUUUCUCCCAUUAUAACUGGUCUGAAAAUAGAACUCCAGUAGUGAAAAUGGCUGAAUCUACUGCUCAGUCUGUAGAAGCAAUUAAAAGAAGGAAAGAAAAUUCAUAAGAGAGAAGAGCCUGGGACAAAGCCUAAGGAAGAAGUGUGGUUCAAGAGCCAGAGCAGAAAAUGUUCUGAAACAUUUGCUAGCAUAAAGAAUAUUACAUAUGAAGAUUUUUAUUUUUUUUUAGAAAGUCAAUUUUCAUAUUUUAAAGCAGGGCAUAGGAACAAGACACAGCAUUAGUUGAAGGAGCUAUGCAAGAUUUAGCAAUGGUAGCAGUUCCACGCAUAAGAGGUUUUUUAUUACUAGUAGGAAAACUAAUUGAAGCCCAUCAAAUAAAUUAUAUUGAAAGACGUGCCAAUAAGGUGAAUCCAUAAAAAUAAUACAGGAUAUGCAAUUACAUGACAAUCAUUUCAGUAUGAGAAACAAAAGGACACCACAGAAUGAAAAAUCUGAGACUCAUAGCUGGAUGUCCUAACAUUUGUUUUUAAUUUGCUGCAGGUGUGCCCCAAAUUUAACUGGAGCUAUGGGGAGAGACAAUUAUUUCCCACUACCAUGUUAUUCUCCAGUCUACGCCUUCCUGACUCAAACUACUGUUAGUUCCAUGGUGGAAGUUAUACAUGUACCUGCAUUUUUUUCUCAUGCAGAACUAACAGGUUUGGGGGGAGGAAGUUUGUUUUAGAUCUGGAAAAUGGCACCAGAAGGGACCUAUCCACUGCUUAGGUCAAAUUUUGGGGGCUUCCAUGUCAGCUUUGUAUUUAAAAUGGAAACUUUGAGAUGUGUGACAUGCAAGACUUUGAUGUAAUGUUGCAUGGCCGUCCUAGUUCUUUUGGAAGGAAAGACAGGAUAAUAACAAUAACAAUAACAAUAAUAAUUCUAGAGUUGUGUAGUAAAAAAAGAGGCCUUUCUCUGCAUCCCAUAAGCAACUGUUGUGUCAGGCAAAGACUAGAUUUACAGGAUCACUUUGCGGAGGUGCAAGAGAUCCUUGUUUGACAUUUCCACCAGUUGUUCCUUGUAUCUAUGAUAGCCCUUCCAGCCUCUGCUGCUGUGGUGGAUCGAAGAUGGAGUGAGCUAUGCUUUGUUGUUGCAUAAACGGGUCAUCUCAUUUGAGUCCACCCAAGAAGCAGCUGAGCAAAGGAGUUAAUCAGACAUACACUUGUCUUUCAAUUUACAAUACAUUGAGGCAAAGGAAGCAACAGAAAGCCUCGUGCCUCCAUCUCCACAAUCCACUGUUCCUUUGGUCCGCACCAUAGAAUAGGGGGCAAAAAGAGAAACCCUACAUGGGCAUGAUCUGAAAACAAAGCAAUAUUUUCCGACAAACAUUGGGCUGAAUGGAGUAACAUCUGUCUCUUCAGGUUAUGGCAGUAGUUAUCCAAAAGGAAGUAUGUAAAAGGCAUAGAUGGCUGUGGCUUUGGCCUAGAGAUUUCAUGUGUGGGAAGUUAAUUGGCUGCCACAGCCUUUCCUUACACACCAAAACAAACCGAAUGUGCAACUGGAAAAGACAUCCACUCCACUCCCACACACGGGCCCAAAGUUUAAAAUUUAAAAACCAGAAGUGAGAGCAUUACAUUGCCGGACAGGUCUAAGACACUGAAGUUUUCACUAAACACAGCACACCUUUCUCCUUCUGCAGAUUUCUAAAUGCGUCAGUUGCCUCUGGACACAUUUUUUGCUCUUUGUCAGCAUAAGUUUUUGUCAUACAUAAAACUUCAGACGGGGUAAAAAAAACACGCUGCACCUUCCCCAAUUAAUCAUGAGCUCAGGCUUGUAGAUACAGGCCUCCUUCUGGGUUUUAGCCAUUCAUACCAAUUAGACAGUGAUUUACAGCUAGGUAAGGUAACUCAGGAAGAAAGCCUGUUUGCUGAGAGAUGGUGGGAAAGAUAGUCUCUCAACCAAAUGUGCAGAAGAGAGGCUAUUAAGAGGCUCAGAAUGUUUCAGAAGGCAAAGUGGAGCUCAGCCCGGAGCUUCACAUUAGGCUAAAAAGGUAUAACUUUCAACAUUAAUGAUUUGGGGUCCACUUUUCAUAUGAACAUGUCUGUUACAAAAUCUCUUAUUGCAAAGGAUGAUAUGUUCUAGUGUGUGCCCUGUCUGGGUGUGACCAUUGCUUAUUGUGAACUUGGAAAUGUCCUAAAGGUAAAGGGACCCCUGACCAUUAAGUUCAGUCAUGGACGACUCUGGGGUUGUGGCGCUCAUCUUGCUUUACUGGCCAAGGGAGCCAGCGUUUUGUCUGCAGACAGCUUCUGGGUCAUGUGGCCAGCAUGACUAAGCUGCUUCUGGCGAACCAGAGCAACACAUGGAAAUGCUGUUUACCUAUUUAUCUACUUGCACUUUGAUGUGCGUUUGAACUGCUAGGUUGGCAGGAGCAAGGACCGAGCAACAGGAGCUCACCCCGUUGCGGGGAUUUGAACCGCCAACCUUCUGAUCGGCAAGCCCUAGGCUCUGUGGUUUAGACCACAGUGCCACCCACAUCCCUACCUUCAUCUAGUGCCUUCCUGGAGAGGAGGGUAAGCUGUCCACCAUUACUGAUAUUACCUCAGAAUACCACUUUGCUGAAGCAUAGGGUUGCUGCUAAUGACUCUGGUUUUGUUAUGGCACUGUUGUUAAGACAACCUGGAGGAUACUUUUCCUUACUUUGUGCAUUUAUCUUGUGGGCUUGUUUGUCAGCAUGACUGGGCACCUGCUGAGUGCAAUUAAAAAUGUUGGUGAUGACCUUUAAAGCUCUAAAUGGCCUUGGCCCUAUAUACCUGAAGGAGUGUCUCCACCCCCAUUGUUCAGCCUGGACACUGAGAUUUAGCUCUGAGGGCCUUCUGGUGGCUCCCUCACUGCAGGAAGUGAAGUUACAGAGAACCAGGCAGAGGGCCUUCUCUCUCUUUUUUUCUUUUUUCAUAAUUUUUUUUUAUUAAUUUACAACAAAACAAAACAUGCAUAAAAUUUUUCACAUCCAAUUUUCACAAAUUGCUUCUUUUCUGGACUUCCUUCAGCUUCUCCGUAAAUCAUCCAUAGUCAUUAUUUUAAAUGCGCAUUUCAUAAUUUAUAUUGUCAUUGUUUAUACCCUUAAUUUCCUUUCUCUUUAAACAAUACUUCUUAGUUUUUCACAGUGCUUUUUUAAACCCCUCUAGCGUUAUCUGUCCCUCACUUAUACUUUCCAGAUAUUCCACAAAUUUCCCCCAGUCCUCGAUGAACUUUUGGUCUCUUAGGUAUCUAAUUUUCCCAGUCAAUUUAUCCAACUCAGCAUAGUCUAACAGCUUCAUUCUCCACAGGCAGAGGGCCUUCUCAAUAGUGGCACCUGCCCUGUGGAAAGCCCUCCCAUCAGAUGUCAAGGAGCUAUAUAUACAGUACAACUUUCUGAAGCCAUUACAGGCAGCCCUGUAUAGGGAAGUUUAAAUGUUUGAUGUUUUGUUGCGUUUUUAUGAUGUUGGAAGCCCCCCAGAGUGGCUAGGGCAACCUAGUCAGAUGGGCAAGGUAUAAGUAAUAAAUAAUCAUAAUCAUCACCAUCCAUAUCCUAGUAGGGGACACUGCCAGCUCCAGGAGCCCCCUGACUUGUCGUCCUCCUUGCUGUUGCUGCUUGAUCACCUGUCCACAAGUGAGCAGUGACAGCAGCAAGGAGGAGGAGAAGCCACUUCCACUCACCUUGUUCUCUCUCUUCUUUGUGCCUCUAUUGAUUGGGCAGAAGGGGAGAGGUCAAGUGAAUGGGCAGUGGUGACAGCAGAAAGAUGUGCCUUCUGACAGCAUCUUGUUCAAUACCCCUCAAAAAGAACCCUGCCACUAGUUUAAAGUUAUUCCAUUUCAUCUCUUGUCAACUUAAACUUAAGUUCUGGCUGCAUAUGUCUCUCAGUCUCGAAACACUUGCAAAGCAGAUGGAACCUUGCCAAAUGUGGCAUAAUAGGUAAUUUCCCCGUUGCAGAGAAAUUUGAAAUGAGUUACAAAAUACGCUUCUACAUUAGGCUCCUUUAAUCCUCCUUUAUAGCUACACUACACACAGAAGGUUCUUUUGCUAUUGUUCUCUAGACCGGGUUAGCUAUUCUUUCCAGGGAUAUGUUAGAGUGCUCUUUUUUAUUAUUCAUCUUCAGAAGGAUUUUGCUAAAACUUAAUGGGGCUGCUUUGAUUACAACAAUGUCACUUCUUUAUAAUUCGUUGUAGUAUCUGAAAAAAACAUUUGCCUACUGUUGCAACAAUUAGAUAUCUUAGCUUAAAAUAGGCCUCACUUGUAGAAUGACUAACAAAAUCAGACUGUCAUAAAUCUCUGUACCCUCUUAUUUUCUUUGAGCAAAAAUGGUCUUCCCUUCCAUUCUUUACACUGCUAGUUUUAAUUUAUUAUUUUACCUCGCAGAUUCAGUACCGAGUAUAUGUAUGUAAUUAUGUUGUAGACAAAAAUUCUAGUUCUAUAAUGCCUAGCUUGUUUCUAUCAUCUGUUUUUGUUUGCUUGUUAGUAUUGGAAUAACACCAUGAACAGCAAAUGUUGAUUAAGCAGAAAAAACAUAUAGAUGCUCCGCAACAUAUGCAUUCACUAAUGUUACUACCUGGGUGGUUUAGAUCUUGUUGAAGAAAAAGAGCGUUAUUUGCAAUAAAAAAAAAAGGUUUUGGCUAGCUGCCUUGUGCUGCCUAGGUCAUUAAACUGGUGGGCUGAGUGUUUCUCUGUAGACAUUUGAAUUCCUGUGUUGAACCACUCACAUCAGGCAAGAGACUGCAAAGCUGCAUAACCCACCCAAACCACAACAUGAAGAAUUCAACACUCUCAUUUCGCAGGCUGGCCAUAAUGGUUAUCUGAAUGACUGAAGUUAAUAAAAAGAGUAGCAGGCUUUGACCUUCCUGCUUUGAUGUUUUGUAAGAGUCUUCACAUUUCCUUGUGCCAGCAAAGUAAAGGGAGAAGAGGUGGGGGAGGCAGAGGAAGGAUUUGAUUUUAGCUUAGCCAGGCUUGGCGUUCUUUUGGUAUGAGCUGGCAUUCUGUGAUCAGCUCAGGGUCACAGACAACAAUUAUUAUUGUCAUGUAAAAAAGCUUCCAUUCAGAGGCCCUAGGCAAGCACCGGCCUCUCUUGGAUUAGGAAGGAGGGGAUUAAAAUUAGAGGAGGGAACAUGUGUCCCACACAUUGCACAACAACUGCUUUCAAAAGUGAGGCCUUGUCUGCAACGAGGUUGGUUAGUGUGAUUCAGCAUGAUCUGAGACAUCUGUAGCUUGAAGCUAACUAUGCCAUUUAUUCUGGGAAGAUCUGGAAGUUGUGGCACUGUGUGCAAACCAAAAUUGUAAAUAGUAUAACCAGGAUCCUUUGCAAGGCAAACAAAACCUUAUAGUACACUUCUGUCCAUCUUUACUCAGAAAUGAGUCCUACUGUGCUCUGUAGAGUGUAGAUAGGAUUGCAUUCUUAAAUCACAAGCCUAAGCACAUGUACUUGAGUACUGAACCCAGUAGGACUUCUCAGUGAACAUACUUAGGAUCAUGCUUUUGGUUGGGAAUGGAAUUAUUCUGACUAAUGUGCACUAUAAAAUGGAAGAAAGACAUUUUUUAACUGAAUGUACAUUCUGGUCAAUAUAAAAAAGGUAAAGAACCCCUGGACGGUUAAGUCCAGUCAAAAGCAACUGUGGGGUGCAGUGCUCAUCUUGCUUCAGGCCAAGGGAGCCGGCAUUUGUCCACAGACAGCUUUCUAGGUCAUGUGGCCAGCAUGACUAAACCGCUUCUGGUGCAAUGGAACACGUGACGGAAACCAGAGCGCACAGAAACGCUGUUUGCCUUCCCACAGCAGCGGUACCUAAUUAUCUACUUGCACUGGUGUGCUUUUGAUCUGCUAGGUUGGCAGAAGCUGGGACAGAGCAACAGGAGCUCACAUGGAUUUGAACUGCCAACCUUCUCAUCAGCAAGCCCAAUAGGCUCAGUGGUUUAGAUCACAGCGCCACCCGCUCCCUGUCAAUGUAGCAUUUAUAGACAAAAGAAAUCCGUAACACAUUUAAGUCAGUUGCGAAAACAUCUUAAAUAGCAUUCAAACCUGUCAUCAUUUGGAAAUCUGGAAUAGAUUAGGUCCCAAUUCUCUUCAUCUAGAUUCUAGAAAUACCUACCCUGCGAUCUGUGCUGAAAAUGCAGAGGGUGCAAUACAGAUAACUAGCUUGCAUGUGAAAGUACAGUGGUACCUCGGGUUACAGAUGCUUCAGGUUACAGACUCCACUAACCCAGAAAUAGUACCUCGGGUUAAGAACUUUGCUUCAGGAUGAGAACAGAAAUCGUGUGGCGGUGGCAGGGGAGGCCCCAUUAGCUAAAGUGGUACCUCGGGUUAAGAACAGUUUCAGGUUAAAAACAGACCUCUGGAACGAAUUAAGUUCUUAACCCGAGGUACCACUGUAUUGGAAUCUAAAUGUUUGGGGUGUCUUGUUGCUGCAGUUGCUUAAACCCUGUAUAUUUUGUCGACACUUUGUUUUCCUAACUUUCUUUGGACUGUGCUCACUGAAACUCAAGUACUGUACUAUAAUAUUUGGAUCAUAUUUUUUAAAAACAAGACAAAAGAUAACUUAUUUUCCUGUAGUAUAUUGAUCUUGAACAAACAAAGGUAUUACAUUGUUCUGAAGAGUACAGUGUUGAAUUAGAACAGGGGAGACCCAGGUUCAAAUCCCCACUCAGCCAUGAGGUUUAGUGGAAAUUCACUGGCCACCUUCUUUCAGGCUAACCUACCUAACAGGGUUGCUGCAAUAAUAAAAUGCAUGGGGGAAAACAUCCUUAGUAGGUUCUGUUCAACUUUUCAGGGAGAAUUGUUGUAAUGAGCCUCUUCAAACAUAUGCAGAAGAAGGACCCUACCAGCAGAUGUCAGUGUAAUAAAUAGCACAGCCAAUCUAGGACUUUAUUUCCAGGGAAAAGAGGUUCCCAUAUUUAUUAUUCUAGACAUAACUUACCGUCUGAUGUACAGAAGUGAUGCUGCUACUACCAUGAGAAGGGACUGUUCCAAGCAGCUUGCAUACAAUGGAACAGGUUCUGACCUGAGCUAAAAGACGACUUGCUAAAAAAAACUUCCAUGCCUACAAUUUUGGGUGUCUGUCUGUGUGUGUGUGCAAAGGCAAUGUAGACUAUUGUAGUUCCCUUGUUGCUCUGAUAAGUGUGGAAGCCUGGCCUAUCUUGAUAUGGAUGAGGAGUUUAUUCCUGUCAAGAGGCUGCCUUGUAAUAUGGGUGGUUUCCCUGUAUUUCUCUUCUUUGGCCAGAAGUAGUUGUUGGUGCAUAAACUGAAUCUUGGUUUGAUGCUCUCAAACCUCAAGUUCAGGAAUUUGUGGUCCUGACACCAGCAAAGGCAUUGGGCACCACAGAACUCUACAUCAUAUUAGGCACCUUUUGUUUAUGUAAGAAAUGGUGGUGUGUCGGCAAGCCCUCUUCUUUUAUAAUUGGUUGAGCUACUAUGAUGUCAUGGAACAGAAAUGGACAUGCUGACUUUUGUGGUAAAGAGAGCUUAAGAGGUAAGUGAGGUAAGGACGGGGAGGGGCAGGAAAGAGUGGCUGAAAUAUUUAUCUAUUUAUUUAAGAGUUUUGUAUACCACCCUUUGCCACCAGGUCCUAGAGUAGUUAACAUAAAUAAUGUAAUAAAAACAAAUGUAAAAAGAACAGGUAGUGUGGCUGAGAAACACAAGGAAGUAUUGUGGGAUGGGAUAAGUGGGCAAGUGUAUGUCAAUAACCAGCCAAGAGAGGAAGCAUAGAAUAUGAGCCACUUUUCCAUAUUAAGAGGGAGUAAACACUGGAGUCCCCCAAUUAACUUAUUCAUAAAUUGUGAACUGGGUGAAUGGACAAUAGAAUGGCAGAAGUGCAACAGAAGUGCAAAAUGAUGCAAACUGGGACUUCAGCAUUCCCACCACAAACUAAUGAGUUGUAAUUUGGAAUGCUUAUAGUUCUGAUCGCCCCACCGAGAUCACCGUGGAGGGGAAGGCACAGAAAUGGGCAACUGUCCAGGAAGAUGGAGCGCUGCGCCUAUGAAGUAAGAGAGCUUAGAGAUUUUGAGUUAAGAAGAAAAGAUGGCAGUGGUGGCUUGGUGUAGCUAGGAUUUUUUGGGGGGAGGGG